AUGUAGCAAUACAUGGAAAGCGGCGAAAGGGACAGUAAAGCGUGGGUAUCUACCUCGGGGUCUAGGAUAGCGGCGGGAAACUGCCGGUAAUACUGGAUAACCUCCCCGGAGCAAAGGUGUGAUUCCGCCCGGAGAUGGGCCCACGUGCUAUUAGCUAGUUGGCGGGGUAAUGGCCCACCAAGGCAAAGAUGGCUAGCGGGUGUGAGAGCACGACCCGCGUCACUGGGACUGAGACACUGCCCAGACACCUACGGGUGGCUGCAGUCGAGAAUCUUCGGCAAUGGGCGAAAGCCUGACCGAGCGAUUCCGCGUGCGGGAUGAAGGCCCUUGGGUUGUAAACCGCUGUCGAGGGGGAUGAAAUUCUGGUGGGUACUCCCACCAGAUUGACAGAUCCCUGGAGGAAGGGUGGGCUAAGUUCGUGCCAGCAGCCGCGGUAAGACGAACCACCCGAACGUUAUUCGGAAUCACUGGGCUUAAAGAGUGCGUAGGCGGCCUUGAAAGUUAGGUGUGAAAUCCCACAGCUCAACUGUGGAACUGCGCUUAAAACUAUGAGGCUAGAGGGAUAUAGGGGUGAGCGGAACUGAUGGUGGAGCGGUGAAAUGCGUUGAUAUCAUCAGGAACACCGGCGGCGAAGGCGGCUCACUGGGUAUCUUCUGACGCUGAGGUACGAAAGCUAGGGGAGCGAACGGGAUUAGAUACCCCGGUAGUCCUAGCUGUAAACGAUGAGCACUAGAUCGAGGGACUGCACAGUUUUUCGGUCGUAGCGAAAGUGUUAAGUGCUCCGCCUGGGGAGUAUGGUCGCAAGGC
RNAcentral lists this ribosomal RNA (807 nucleotides) under uncultured Planctomycetota bacterium. RNAcentral describes it as "bacterial SSU rRNA". It matches the Rfam family "Bacterial small subunit ribosomal RNA", at positions 74 to 894 of the family's 1533-position model. Lineage: Bacteria; Pseudomonadati; Planctomycetota. The record is from RNAcentral.